GAGACGAGGAAACAAUCCUGGUGAGCAAGACGUUUGCAAUUCCGAAAUAUCGCAAAGGUGCUCUACCGGCCGCUGCUGCAGCAGUAGUUCGAAAUGAAGCAUUAAUGGAUUCGUCGGAUUCUUCGGACUCGCAGAGCACAGUAAAAUCGCUCGAUGGAUGGAGAACCCGUACUUCUCGAUCAAUUAUGACAACUCCUGAGGCAUUUAGUCGUGUUCGACACAUAUCUAUAACAUUCGGAGAGCAACAGCAUGACAUUGAUACGGACCACUCGAAUCAACAUUUUGGCUCGCCGAGCUCGUUGCACAGCAGCCUACCGAGAGCUUUUUCCCCUCCGCAUAAGAUUUCCAAAGCGAGAAGACGUCAAUUGGCGGUUACUACGAGUUUAAGCGAGACUU
Molecule: small RNA, 396 nt
Filed under: Caenorhabditis elegans
Lineage: Eukaryota; Metazoa; Nematoda; Chromadorea; Rhabditida; Rhabditidae
Description: Unclassified non-coding RNA T04C4.4
Source: RNAcentral